This 310-nucleotide ribosomal RNA is filed under the name uncultured eukaryote. RNAcentral's name for it is "partial 18S ribosomal RNA". It matches the Rfam family "Eukaryotic small subunit ribosomal RNA", at positions 1470 to 1796 of the family's 1831-position model. The record is from RNAcentral.
CCCUUAGAUGUUCUGGGCGGCCCGCGCACUACAAUGGCGCUUUCAGCGAGUUCCUAUGCUGAAUUUUCCUGGGUAUUCUUGGAAGCGGCGUCUUGACUUGGGAUAGAUCCUUGUAAUUGUUGGUUUUGAACGAGGAAUUCCUUGUAAUCGCGGUUGAUCAGCUCGCGUUGAAUACGUCCCCGCCCUUUGUACACACCGCCCGUCGUUCCUACCGAUGAAUCGUCCGGUGAAGUUCACAGAGUGGCGGUUCGUGGAGUUGCUCGCGAAGUGAAAUGGACCUCACGAUUUAGAGGAAGGAGAAGUCGUAACA